This 468-nucleotide ribosomal RNA is filed under the name uncultured bacterium. Its description in RNAcentral is "partial 16S ribosomal RNA". It matches the Rfam family "Bacterial small subunit ribosomal RNA", at positions 28 to 507 of the family's 1533-position model. The record is from RNAcentral.
GACGAACGCUGGCGGCGUGCUUAACACAUGCAAGUCGAACGGAAAGGCCCUGCUUUUGUGGGGUGCUCGAGUGGCGAACGGGUGAGUAACACGUGUGUAACCUGCCCUUGACUUUGGGAUAACUUCAGGAAACUGGGGCUAAUACCGGAUAGGAGCUCCUGCUGCAUGGUGGGGGUUGGAAAGUUUCGGCGGUUGGGGAUGGACUCGCGGCUUAUCCGCUUGUUGGUGGGGUAGUGGCUUACCAAGGCUUUGACGGGUAGCCGGCCUGAGAGGGUGACCGGCGAAAUUGGGACUGAGAUACGGACCAGAAUCGAACGGGAGGCAGCAGUGGGGAAUAUUGCACAAUGGGGGGAAGCCUGAUGCAGCAACGCCGCGUGCGGGAUGACGGCCUUCGGGGUAUAAACCGCUGUCGCCGGUGACGAAGCGUGAGUGACGGUAAUGGGUAAAGAAGCACCGGCUAACUACGUG